ACUCUAAAAAGAGCUGGGUUAUUACUUUGACUAAACCCCUGGGUCAAUUGCUUUUCUAUGAAAAAUGGGUUAAAUAUAACCCAUAUUGGGUCAUUUUCCGUACCCAUUACCUGGGUUAUUCGCUAGACCCACAUCAGCACCCAGGCCCUGGGUCAUUUCAACCCUGUAAUCUAAGUUAUCUUGUCAAGAUAUUUGAAUUUUGAAUUUUACCGCCCGGUCGCCAUUGCCAAAACGGCUACCAGUAGACUACCAACGUCCAGAAGAAAGGACACCGGAUGGCAUGUGAAAGCAUUGUUUCGGUGGACUUCUCUCCUCUGACCUGUUACCAAGACAGCUGGGUGUGUAGGAAACUGGAACUAAGUCACUGAAGAAGUAAACCGAUGAAAACCGAUUUGGAUUGUCUGAGAGAUCUGUAGGACACAAGUAAGAGGAGAAGAAUGCUGCUCAGCUGGGUCGGCGUCGGCCACACUACUUAUUCAAGAAGCCCUUGGAUAUCAUCGGCAUGUAUGAAGCACAGUCAUUCCGGUAGUCCGUUCCUCGAUGGACGUGAUGACCUGGCACCAAAACCGCUUAAAGUGUAUGGAGCUGUGUCUGCAUCGAGGAAAGAACGCGGCACUGAAAUGACAAGAGGACUACUGCUCUACUGGGUCUGUGACACUACUUAUCCGAGGAGUCCUCAAACAUCAGGAUGUAGGAAGACACAAGUAAAAGGAGAAGAAUGCUGUUCAGCUGGGUCGGCGGCCACACUACUUAUUCAAGAAGCUCUUGGAUAUCAUCGGCAUGUAUGAAGUCCACUGAUGCCAAGCUGCUAAGGACCCCCACCCCCCCGCAGAAGAAGAUCGGCGACGCCGCGUUUGCCUGCUAUGCGCCCAAGAGAUGGAACGCCCUCCCCAUCGAGAUCCGAUCAGCCACCUCCGUCGACUCCUUCAAGAAGCAG
This is a long non-coding RNA of Engraulis encrasicolus (European anchovy), 937 nucleotides long. RefSeq lists it as uncharacterized. The record is from RefSeq and is a predicted model, not a curated record. Lineage: Eukaryota; Metazoa; Chordata; Actinopteri; Clupeiformes; Engraulidae. The transcript is spliced from 7 exons.